This 230-nucleotide ribosomal RNA is filed under the name uncultured Alicycliphilus sp. Its description in RNAcentral is "partial 16S ribosomal RNA". It matches the Rfam family "Bacterial small subunit ribosomal RNA", at positions 548 to 774 of the family's 1533-position model. Lineage: Bacteria; Pseudomonadati; Pseudomonadota; Betaproteobacteria; Burkholderiales; Comamonadaceae. The record is from RNAcentral.
AGAGAUGCACUGGGUUUAAAGGGUGCGCAGGCGGUUUUGUAAGACAGAGGUGAAAUCCCCGGGCUCAACCUGGGAACUGCCUUUGUGACUGCAAGGCUGGAGUGCGGCAGAGGGGGAUGGAAUUCCGCGUGUAGCAGUGAAAUGCGUAGAUAUGCGGAGGAACACCGAUGGCGAAGGCAAUCCCCUGGGCUUGCACUGACGCUCAUGCACGAAAGCGGGGGGAGCAAACA